CCUACGGGAGGCAGCAGUAGGGAAUCUUUCACAAUGGGCGAAAGCCUGAUGGAGCAACGCCGCGGGCAGGAUGAAGGCCUUCGGGUUGUAAACUGCUUUUAUAAGCGAGCAAUAUGAUGGUAACUUAUGAAUAAGGAUCGGCUAACUACGUGCCAGCAGCCGCGGUCAUACGUAGGAUCCGAGCAUUAUCCGGAGUGACUGGGUGUAAAGAGUUGCGUAGGUGGCAUAAUAAGUAGCUAGUGAAAUCUGGUGGCUCAACCAUUCAGACUAUUAGCUAAACUGUUAAGCUCGAGACCGUUAGGGGUAACUGGAAUUUCUAGUGUAGGAGUGAAAUCCGUAGAUAUUAGAAGGAACACCAAUAGCGUAGGCAGGUUGCUGGGACGGUUCUGACACUAAGGCACGAAAGCGUAGGGAGCAAACGGGAUUAGAUACCCGGGUAGUC
RNAcentral lists this ribosomal RNA (442 nucleotides) under uncultured bacterium. RNAcentral's name for it is "partial 16S ribosomal RNA". It matches the Rfam family "Bacterial small subunit ribosomal RNA", at positions 338 to 795 of the family's 1533-position model. The record is from RNAcentral.